UGAGGAAUAUUGCUCAAUGGGCGAAAGCCUGAAGCAGCAACGCCGCGUGCGCGAUGAAGGUCUUCGGAUCGUAAAGCGCUUUUGAGAGGGACGAGAUAGGACGGUACCUCUUGAAUAAGUCACGGCUAACUACGUGCCAGCAGCCGCGGUAAAACGUAGGUGGCAAGCGUUAUCCGGAUUCACUGGGCGUAAAGCGCGUGCAGGUGGCUUCGUAAGUUGGACGUUAAAUCUUUCGGCCUAACCGGGGGGUGUCGUUCAAUACUGCGGGGCUUGAGGGUAGAAGAGGGGGGUGGAGUUGCCGGUGUAGUGGUGAAAUGCGUAGAUAUCGACAGGAACACCUGUGGCGAAAGCGGCCCCCUGGUCUGCUCCUGACACUCAGACGCGAAAG
RNAcentral lists this ribosomal RNA (388 nucleotides) under uncultured bacterium. RNAcentral's name for it is "bacterial SSU rRNA". It matches the Rfam family "Bacterial small subunit ribosomal RNA", at positions 355 to 759 of the family's 1533-position model. The record is from RNAcentral.